UACGUAGGGUGCAAGCGUUGUCCGGAAUUAUUGGGCGUAAAGAGCGUGUAGGCGGCCCGAUUAGUCCGCUGUGAAAGUCCAGGGCUCAACCCUGGAAUGCCGGUGGAUACUGUCGGGCUAGAGUCCGGAAGGGGCGAGUGGAAUUCCUGGUGUAGCGGUGGAAUGCGCAGAUAUCAGGAAGAACACCCGUGGCGAAGGCGGCUCUCUGGGACGGUACUGACGCUGAGACGCGAAAGCGUGGGGAGCGAACAGG
Molecule: ribosomal RNA, 253 nt
Filed under: uncultured bacterium
Lineage: Bacteria
Description: partial 16S ribosomal RNA
Rfam family: Bacterial small subunit ribosomal RNA
Source: RNAcentral